GUCCUUGUAGCUUAUACAAAGCAUGACACUGAAGAUGUCAAGAUGGAUGCUCAACACACCCGAGGACA
Molecule: transfer RNA, 68 nt
Filed under: Heteralocha acutirostris (huia)
Lineage: Eukaryota; Metazoa; Chordata; Aves; Passeriformes; Callaeidae
Also listed under: 1 other name
Description: tRNA-Phe
Rfam family: tRNA
About the family: Transfer RNA (tRNA) molecules are approximately 80 nucleotides in length. Their secondary structure includes four short double-helical elements and three loops (D, anti-codon, and T loops).
Source: RNAcentral